UGGGGAAUAUUGCACAAUGGGCGCAAGCCUGAUGCAGCCAUGCCGCGUGUAUGAAGAAGGCCUUCGGGUUUUAAAGUACUUUCAGUCGGGAGGAAGGUGGUAAGGUUAAUAACCUUAUCAAUUGACGUUACCGACAGAAGAAGCACCGGCUAACUCCGUGCCAGCAGCCGCGGUAAUACGGAGGGUGCAAGCGUUAUUCGGAAUUACUGGGCGUAAAGCGCACGCAGGCGGUUGAUUGAGUCAGAUGUGAAAUCCCCGGGCUUAACCCGGGAAGUGCAUCAGAUACUGGUCAGGUGGAGUCUUGUAGAGGGGGGUAGGAUUACAUGGGUAGCGGUGAUAUGCGUAGAGAUGUGGAGGAAGACCGGUGGCGAAGGCGGCCCCCUGGACAAAGACUGAAGCUCAGGUGCGAAAGCGUGGGGAGCAAACAGG
RNAcentral lists this ribosomal RNA (429 nucleotides) under Chloroflexota bacterium. Its description in RNAcentral is "Chloroflexi bacterium partial 16S ribosomal RNA". It matches the Rfam family "Bacterial small subunit ribosomal RNA", at positions 355 to 776 of the family's 1533-position model. Lineage: Bacteria; Bacillati; Chloroflexota. The record is from RNAcentral.